AAUUAGGAGUCGAGUGUUUGGGAAUGCAUAACAUUGGCAUGUGCACACUCUUCUCUUUAUCCACACACCCCUGUGCACUUGUGAGACAGUCAAGGUCCUUUGGGGUUGGGGGGCAGAGCUUUAUUGCAAAACCCUUUUUCCCCUUUUGCCUUUGCUGUCUACUCAAUUUAUACACACUCUAAUUAAUUUUAAAACGAAUGUAAUUGAUGUAACGCAUCUAAUACUAAGUUUCAACAACGGAUCUCUUGGCUCUCGCAUCGAUGAAGAACGCAGCGAAAUGCGAUAAGUAAUGUGAAUUGCAGAAUUCAGUGAAUCAUCGAAUCUUUGAACGCACCUUGCGCUCCUUGGUAUUCCUUGGAGCAUGCCUGUUUGAGUAUCAUGAAAUCUUCAAAGCAAACCUUUUGUUAAUUCAAUCGGUUUCUUGCUUUGGUAUUGGAGGUCUUUGCAGCUUCACACCUGCUCCUCUUUGUUCAUUAGCUGGAUCUCAGUGUUAUGCUUGGUUCCACUCGGCGUGAUAAGUUAUCUAUCGCUGAGGACACCGUAAAAAAGUGGCCAAGGUAAAUGCAGACGAACSGCUUCUAAUAGUCCAAANACUUGGACAAUUAAAUUUUUA
This 613-nucleotide ribosomal RNA is filed under the name Thanatephorus sp. CBS 345.36. RNAcentral's name for it is "eukaryotic LSU rRNA". The stretch from base 226 to 379 matches the Rfam family "5.8S ribosomal RNA". Lineage: Eukaryota; Fungi; Basidiomycota; Agaricomycetes; Cantharellales; Ceratobasidiaceae. The record is from RNAcentral.